Leopardus geoffroyi (Geoffroy's cat) is the source of this 1219-nucleotide long non-coding RNA. RefSeq lists it as uncharacterized. NCBI's taxonomy places the organism in Eukaryota, Metazoa, Chordata, Mammalia, Carnivora, Felidae. The record is from RefSeq and is a predicted model, not a curated record. The transcript is spliced from 2 exons.
GGAAGGCAGGUGGGAGAGGAGAGUAGAGCAGGUUAUGAGAAUGGGUAGGAUUCUGAUGUAAAGAAAGGAAGAAGAAAAGAUCUGCUCAAACUUAAAACUGGACACUGGAAAAGACAGUGACAUAAAAUAGUUAGGUCCCUAUGUACAGGUCUUCUGUCACCUCAGAGCUCUUCUCUAAGAUGGGUAGGAUAUGAAGAGAAUAGAUUUGCUCUCUCCAUACGGUGACUUAAUGGCCAAAAGGAGUAGCUCCUUGCUUAGAGAGGACAACUUGGACCGCAAUGUUUUCAGAACUUAGGGAAACUAACCCUGCAGAGCUAGGGUUUAUAACCCAUGGUCCACGACUGGGCCUCUGGACUGGAGAACUUUUGGAAGCCAUUUUGUGAAUGUGUGCAAUACUUCUAGAAGAGGCCAAUAACUCUACCAUGUUCUUACAUGGGUUUAUGACUCCUAAAGUUUAAGAACCACUGGUAUAGACAGAGUACAUUUCAAGGUUGGCAAAAGCUGCCCUGAAAACUUUUAUCAACAACUGAUUCUGAUUCCUUCAGCUGGCUUGACCAUGACUAGAGGGCAAGAAGUCCUUUGGAGAGGUGGGAAGUAGCAACAUUUGUAUCAAAAGACCCAGAUGCCUGGACCUGGGCUCUCAGAAAUGGCUGAAACUUUGCUCUAAGCCCAUAUCAUCUUCAGAAGAGGGAGGAAUUGUCCUUCCAUAUUAUUCCCCAGGAAAAGAGACGUAAGUAUGCUCCAUUUUUAUCUGUGUUUGGUACUACCUUAAGGGGGUCAACAGAAUAGAAGCUGUAUUUCAUCACUACAAAGUUAAAAACAAAAACAAACAAAAAAAAUGACACAAGGUCAACAUCACAGUCCACAUUCCCAAACCCCUGUUCAGGUCAUGUUGUCUUUCUGGUUUAUAUCUCCACAUUUCUUGGAAUUUGUAACCGACAUUUAAAUGAACUCUUAUGCACUCUGCACUUUGAGGUAAAUUUGGUUGUAAGCAAAAACAACUUCAAAAGUCUGAAGUCCUUACUCCCUUUUGGACCCUAAGCACCCAAAAGAUGUUCUGUCAACCCCCAAACUCUGGAAUGUCUUCCCAGAAAAGCAAGAGAAAAGCAAGUCUAUGGAGAAAACUCCUUUGUUGAAAUUAUUUGGAUGUUAUAGCUGGACUUGGUUACCUUGUUCUCAAGGAAGUACUUCUUGACAUUUAAGUAAAUAAUGUGCCUUA